AAGUCGUAACAAGGUUUCCGUAGGUGAACCUGCGGAAGGAUCAUUAACGAAUCAAACAAGUUCAUCUUGUUCUGAUCCUGUGCACCUUAUGUAGUCCCAAAGCCUUCACGGGCGGCGGUUGACUACGUUUACCUCACACCCUAAAGUAUGUUAACGAAUGUAAUCAUGGUCUUGACAGACCCUAAAAAGUUAAUACAA
Molecule: unclassified non-coding RNA, 198 nt
Filed under: plant metagenome
Description: partial contains small subunit ribosomal RNA and internal transcribed spacer 1
Rfam family: Eukaryotic small subunit ribosomal RNA (bases 1-46)
Source: RNAcentral